UUGAGCGGAGAUAUAUGGAGCUUGCUUUAUAUAACUUAGCAGCGAACGGGUGGGUAACACGUAGAUAAUCUAUCCUAUACUGGGGGAUAGCCCGAUGAAAGUUGGAUUAAUACCGCAUAUAGCUAUAUAGUUGCAUGAUUAUGUAGUGAAAGAUUUAUUGGUAUAGGAGGAGUCUGCGGCACAUUAGCUAGUAGGUGAGGUAAAGGCUUACCUAGGCGACGAUGUGUAGCCGGUCUGAGAGGAUGAACGGCCACAAUGGAACUGAGACACGGUCCAUACUCCUACGGGAGGCAGCAGUGGGGAAUAUUGCACAAUGGGGGAAACCCUGAUGCAGCAACGCCGCGUGAGUGAAGAAGGUUUUCGGAUUGUAAAGCUCUGUUAGCAGGGAAGAGGAAGGACGGUACCUGCAGAGGAAGCCACGGCUAACUACGUGCCAGCAGCCGCGGUAAUACGUAGGUGGCAAGCGUUGUUCGGAAUAACUGGGCGUAAAGGAUGCGUAGGCGGUUAAACAAGUUAUAUGUUAAAUAUAUAGGCUUAACCUGUAGAAAGCAUAUAAAACUGUUUAACUAGAGUGCAGGAGAGGUAAGUGGAAUUCCUAGUGUAGCGGUGAAAUGCGUAGAGAUUAGGAAGAACACCAGUGGCGAAGGCGACUUACUGGACUGUAACUGACGCUGAGGCAUGAGAGCAUGGGGAGCAAACAGGAUUAGAUACCCUGGUAGUCCAUGCUGUAAACGAUGGGUACUAGGUGUGGGUUGUGA
Molecule: ribosomal RNA, 758 nt
Filed under: uncultured bacterium
Lineage: Bacteria
Description: bacterial SSU rRNA
Rfam family: Bacterial small subunit ribosomal RNA
Source: RNAcentral